RNAcentral lists this ribosomal RNA (546 nucleotides) under uncultured bacterium. RNAcentral describes it as "bacterial SSU rRNA". It matches the Rfam family "Bacterial small subunit ribosomal RNA", at positions 1 to 561 of the family's 1533-position model. The record is from RNAcentral.
CCCUUAGAGUUUGAUCCUGGCUCAAAAUCAACGCUGGCGGCGUGCCUCAGACAUGCAAGUCGAACGAUUAAGACUCCCUUCGGGGAGUGCAUAAAGUGGCGCACGGGUGAGUAACACGUAAGUAAUCUACCUUCGAGUGGGGAAUAACGUUCGGAAACGGACGCUAAUACCGCAUAACGCAGCGGCAUCGCAAGAUGACAGUUGUUAAAGGAGCAAUCCGCUUGAAGAGGAGCUUGCGGCAGAUUAGCUAGUUGGUAAGGUAACGGCUUACCAAGGCUACGAUCUGUAUCCGGUCUAAGAGGACGGUCGGACACACUGACACUGAAUAACGGGUCACACUCCUACGGGAGGCAGCAGUCGGGAAUUUUGGGCAAUGGGCGAAAGCCUGACCCAGCAACGCCGCGUGAAGGAUGAAGUAUUUCGGUAUGUAAACUUCGAAAGAAUAGGAAGAAUAAAUGACGGUACUAUUUAUAAGCUCCGGCUAACUACGUGCCAGCAGCCGCGGUAAUACGUAGGGAGCAAGCGUUGUUCGGAUUUACUGGGCGU